GACAGAGGCCUCAAGCGUUAGGCGGAAUCACUGGGCUUAAAGCGUGUGUAGGCGGAUCGUUAAGUGUCUUGUGAAAUCCCACGGCUCACCCGUGGAACUGCUGGGCAUACUGGCGAUCUUGGGCCAACUAGGGGCAACUGGAACAAGCGGUGGAGCGGUGAAAUGCGUAGAUAUCGCUUGGAACGCCAAAGGUGAGAACAGGUUGCUGGGGUUGUGCCGACGCUGAGACACGAAAGCCAGGGGAGCAAACGGG
Molecule: ribosomal RNA, 253 nt
Filed under: uncultured bacterium
Lineage: Bacteria
Description: partial 16S ribosomal RNA
Rfam family: Bacterial small subunit ribosomal RNA
Source: RNAcentral